Oncorhynchus gorbuscha (pink salmon) is the source of this 245-nucleotide long non-coding RNA. RefSeq lists it as uncharacterized. The transcript is spliced from 3 exons. NCBI's taxonomy places the organism in Eukaryota, Metazoa, Chordata, Actinopteri, Salmoniformes, Salmonidae. The record is from RefSeq and is a predicted model, not a curated record.
CUGGAUGAGCUGCUCUCUGUCACGCUCACUGCCCCAGAGAAGAGGAGGAAUCACAAGAAAGAUUAUAAAACAUCAAACAAGCAUCCGGUGCAGGAGGCCAAGGCUCAUCGAAGGACAUCUCUUAGAUUUUUCAACAUGACAGUCUGGAGCAGCCCUGACCCUUCCCCCACAUCCAUUGGGAAUGACACUGAGAAUUGGAUCAUGGGCAGUAUAAUGGUCACUGAUGGUAUGACUGAAGCAUCCAG